AUGGGAUUUGGGUUGGGUAUGCUUGAGAUGAAUGGUAGAUCUUCUGGCUACCCCAUGUAUCCAAUGCCCUCUGUGCAAGGAGGGCAUUUUCCCUCACCUCCUAUUCCUGCUUCCACCGCUUAUCCAGGAAUAGCUGUAUCUAAUCGUCACGUAUUUGCACAUCCUGGUCAAGGACUUCCAAUGUCAAUUCCUCGAGCAUCUCUGGGUCCUUUGGCCGGGCAACCAUCAACAGGUGCUGCUGUUCCUAUGAAUGUUGCAAGAGAAGGGGUUCCGGUGGAGAUACGGGGUGCACAGCCGAAUUUGGAUUCCAAAACUCCAGUACACAAGAACUCACAGAUAGUCCAAAAUGCUGAAGCUAGCUGCCCACAGAAUCAGACAUGCAGUCAGGUACAAGCAACAAAUGAGGUUCUGGAAAAAUCAGCACAAAAAAAUGACCAACUCCCUGAUGUCAUUGGUAGUGCAGCAAAUAGGUUGACCAACCGAACAAAUGUGCCCGGAAAUGAAGCUGGUCCCAGUUUGUAGACAACUGUAGGUUCUGAUCAAAUGACUGUUUGGUUCCAUCCUAGCUGGGAAGAAGUCAUUUCUCAUUCAGUGGAAGGUAGCCUCUUUUAACUCCGACCGUUGUGCAGUUCUGAGAAUUUAUUGUUACUGGAGAUGAAUGGUAGAGUUCCCGAAUGAAGUUGGUUUAUGCAACUGCCAUCAGAAUGUAGACAAAUGCAUGCACAGACCUUGGUAAUAUAAAGACACCAUAAGGUUCUCCUUCCAAUGUAACAUCAAAGAUAUCUAAAAGCAGGGAGCAGCAUCUCAACAAUGUAGUGUGUAUCAGACAUCAACGUUCUUCAAAUAAUAAAAUAGCGCAAGCAUUUCUCUUAUAUUCACCUGUAUGU
This 887-nucleotide unclassified non-coding RNA is filed under the name Hevea brasiliensis (rubber tree). Lineage: Eukaryota; Viridiplantae; Streptophyta; Magnoliopsida; Malpighiales; Euphorbiaceae. The record is from RNAcentral.